This 373-nucleotide long non-coding RNA is filed under the name Heterocephalus glaber (naked mole-rat). RNAcentral's name for it is "lncRNA (ENSHGLG00100044615.1)". The record is from RNAcentral. Lineage: Eukaryota; Metazoa; Chordata; Mammalia; Rodentia; Bathyergidae.
UUUCCUUUCCCCUACCCCUCCCACUUCCUAGGCAGAGCAAGGAGGCUGAAUCCCAGAAUCACCUCUGUUCUUUGGUUGCUGCUGCUGGAGUGCAGUCCCCCAGCACCAUAAGGCUAGCCAGAUGGGCUCUUUGGCUGCAAGCCCAGAGAUCCCAUAAGAAACCAGAGGCUUUGAGGAAGCCUAAGGGUUCUGGAAAGCUGUCUGCAGGAGGUGAUUCUGGUUCUGAGCCUUGAAGAAAGCCUGCUGUGGAAGAGUAUGCCAGACAGAGACAUAGGAGAGCUAUUUGAUUGCAGACAAGUGACCAAUGGGAAACUGGCAGGUACCUUUUAGGCCCUGUCCUGCUUCUCCAACUCCAAAUCCACUACCCUUUCUG